Molecule: non-coding RNA, 780 nt
Filed under: Pongo abelii (Sumatran orangutan)
Lineage: Eukaryota; Metazoa; Chordata; Mammalia; Primates; Hominidae
Source: RNAcentral
CUGGUGAGGUGGGACUUCAAUGUCUUUUAGGUUUACAGUCUUUUCCUCCCCACGGCUUCUCUUUCCUCCCCGUCUCAGGCACUGGGCAUUUCCAGUCGAUCCAGCGGGUCUGGCUUCUCUCACAUAUGCAGUAAGGGUUAGGGGAGAAGGUCCCAGCUCCUCUUGUCUUUAGCAGAGUGUAAACUGGCUCUGCUGAGGAGGUGGCUAUCCUUUUAUUCCUUCUCCUGAGAACUGUUUAUAUAAUAAGGAGCUUCACAGCCUCCAACAUAAGGAAAGCAGGCCUCAAACUUCUUCAUGGGAAAAAACGGCUUCUCUUUUUUAAUUGAAUGAACUAGAAGAAGUUCAUUGUUAUUCAUCAACUUCAAAGAGACUAUAUGAGGCCCCUUGGCCAGGACUACAGAGUAGUAUUUUUUAAUCAGAAAUUAUGGCCAAAAAGAAGAGGAGACCAGAACACAUGGGUCUGCAGCGUACCAGCAUUUGUGAAGGCCUGCAGUUCGUAGAAUGAAAUCUAUGUGGAGAUGAUUUAAAAGAACGGUUUCACUGCUAAAAUCCUUUCGAAAUGAGUUCCUUUAAGUUCUUCAGUAACUAAAUCCCCCAGAAAGGAAAGCAGAGAGAAUCUAGCCCUAUACAAUAACAUCCUCUAACAAAGAUUGCUAAAGGAAGAUUUUAGUAGAUGAAUAUCUUCAAUAAUACAUGGUCACAUACAUGUAUCCGACCAUAUGAUGGCUCUCUGCACCAAAUUCCUCCAAACUAUUAUAAUAUGUAUUGUCUGUAGUGCUA